This 395-nucleotide ribosomal RNA is filed under the name uncultured bacterium. Its description in RNAcentral is "bacterial SSU rRNA". It matches the Rfam family "Bacterial small subunit ribosomal RNA", at positions 30 to 426 of the family's 1533-position model. The record is from RNAcentral.
AUUGAACGCUGGCGGCAUGCCUUACACAUGCAAGUCGAACGGCAGCACGGGAGCAAUCCUGGUGGCGAGUGGCGAACGGGUGAGUAAUAUAUCGGAACGUGCCCAGUCGUGGGGAUAACGUAGCGAAAGCUACGCUAAUACCGCAUACUAUCUAUGGAUGAAAGCGGGGGAUCGCAAGACCUCGCGCGAUUGGAGCGGCCGAUAUCAGAUUAGGUAGUUGGUGAGGUAAAGGCUCACCAAGCCGACGAUCUGUAGCUGGUCUGAGAGGACGACCAGCCACACUGGGACUGAGACACGGCCCAGACUCCUACGGGAGGCAGCAGUGGGGAAUUUUUGGGACAAUGGGCGCAAGCCUGAUCCAGCAAUGCCGCGUGCAGGAUGAAGGCCUCGGUUGU